Molecule: ribosomal RNA, 465 nt
Filed under: uncultured bacterium
Lineage: Bacteria
Description: partial 16S ribosomal RNA
Rfam family: Bacterial small subunit ribosomal RNA
Source: RNAcentral
CCUACGGGAGGCAGCAGUGGGGAAUAUUGCGCAAUGGGCGAAAGCCUGACGCAGCGACGCCGCGUGAGGGAUGAAGGUCUUCGGAUCGUAAACCUCUGUUAGCAGGGAAGAACGGUCACUGUGCUAAUCAGCCGUGAAUUGACGGUACCUGCAAAGGAAGCACCGGCUAACUCCGUGCCAGCAGCCGCGGUAAUACGGAGGGUGCGAGCGUUAAUCGGAAUUACUGGGCGUAAAGCGCGCGUAGGCGGUAUGUCAAGUCAAGGGUGAAAUCCCCGCGCUCAACGUGGGAACUGCCUUUGAAACUGGCAAACUGGAGUGUGUGAGAGGAUAGUGGAAUUCCAGGUGUAGCAGUGAAAUCCGUAGAUAUCUGGAGGAACAUCAGUGGCGAAGGCGACUAUCUGGCACAUAACUGACGCUGAGGAGCGAAAGCGUGGGUAGCAAACAGGAUUAGAUACCCCUGUAGUC